Molecule: ribosomal RNA, 786 nt
Filed under: uncultured bacterium
Lineage: Bacteria
Description: bacterial SSU rRNA
Rfam family: Bacterial small subunit ribosomal RNA
Source: RNAcentral
AGAGUUUGAUCAUGGCUCAGGACGAACGCUGGCGGCGUGCUUAACACAUGCAAGUCGAACGGAAAGGCUCCUUCGGGAGUGCUCGAGUGGCGAACGGGUGAGUAACACGUGGGUGAUCUGCCCUGCACUUCGGGAUAAGCUUGGGAAACUGGGUCUAAUACCGGAUAGGACCGCAUGCUGCAUGGUGUGUGGUGGAAAGCGUUUAGUGGUGUGGGAUGGGCCCGCGGCCUAUCAGCUUGUUGGUGGGGUGAUGGCCUACCAAGGCGACGACGGGUAGCCGGCCUGAGAGGGUGUCCGGCCACACUGGGACUGAGAUACGGCCCAGACUCCUACGGGAGGCAGCAGUGGGGAAUAUUGCACAAUGGGCGCAAGCCUGAUGCAGCGACGCCGCGUGGGGGAUGACGGCCUUCGGGUUGUAAACCUCUUUCACCAUCGGCGAAGCCUCAAGUUUUCUUGGGGUGACGGUAGGUGGAGAAGAAGCACCGGCCAACUACGUGCCAGCAGCCGCGGUAAUACGUAGGGUGCGAGCGUUGUCCGGAAUUACUGGGCGUAAAGAGCUCGUAGGUGGUUUGUCGCGUUGUUCGUGAAAUUCCCUGGCUUAACUGGGGGCGUGCGGGCGAUACGGGCAGACUGGAGUACUGCAGGGGAGACUGGAAUUCCUGGUGUAGCGGUGGAAUGCGCAGAUAUCAGGAGGAACACCGGUGGCGAAGGCGGGUCUCUGGGCAGUAACUGACGCUGAGGAGCGAAAGCGUGGGGAGCGAACAGGAUUAGAUACCCCGGUAGUCC